AUGUAUAGUAUAGGGCAGUACUUCUGUUUUGUCAGUAAAUAAUGCUAUUGUAGAAAUCAAUACUAGAAGUAUUCUCAGUUUCUAGUUGAUCCAUCAGUGAUCAGAGAGCUGACGUUUUAUCUUCGUCUCUUAGCCAUAGUAAUAUUGGUUCUAACAUGAGCAAAUCUGAUAUAGAAGACAAUAAUGUUGAGAAUUCACAAAGAAAUAAUCAUGACGAUGAAUAUGCUUAUAACAGUGAUGAUAGUACACUGUACAAUGCAAAUUCUAGUCAUGAUAAUCAAGUUGAAGUACCGAAAAAAAUCACUGGCAUGGAUAAAAUGUUAAACUUAAAUACCUCAUUGAUUUUCGAUGUAUGGAUACUAAUUUACUCUUCAUUACUGUUAUUGUAGAUAUGGUAAAAAAUUUGAUUUAUAUGAUAAAAGUAAUGAAAGGAACUCAACGUAAUCAUGGAAUAUUAUUGGAGGAAAUAGUGUAGCGACUCAGGAAUAAAGGAAUAAUCGUAUUUCAUCUUAAAGGAAUACUCAUUGAAAAUAUCAGUACAGCAGAGAAAAUAGAGAAAUGUUUAGCUUCAUCCACAUCACAAAUGGAAUACCUUAUAAGAAUAAAUUUGAAGCCCAUUUAGUGAUUUUCACAGCAGAACAUAAGAUAUUCUCUUACAAUAAACUUUUGAAAAAAGUGUUAAAUAUUUACAGACUAAAAGACUUUCCACCGAAGAUGAAACUGAACUAUUUUUGCUACUCGAGUUUAAGAAGAAGAGAAUGCCCCCCGCUCCUUAUUGAUGCCUAAGGUCGCUGAGCGGCCGUGAUUGCCGAGAAAACAUUUUCGGUCGCUUGAAACAAAUAAUUAGUAUGAGAAGGAGCUUGCUGUCUCGUUCACUCUCAGCACGCUGCAGGCGAACACACGGACAUGGGCACGUGCUUAAGUAUGUGGCUACCAUUUUGCCAGACCGUCGUCUGAUUCUGUGUCGCCACCGUCAACGCAGAGUUCUUGACUGAGUCUGAGUAGUCAGGAGCCUUAAACCCGAUUAAGCAUGCCGUGUAACAGAAGUCAAUAAUAAAGUACUUGUUAUAUUUCGUUAUAAGCUUUAAAGUGUUCUUAAAAAUGUUAUAUAUUUAAUAAAUAUUGAAUAAAUUAUUAA
This is a long non-coding RNA of Acromyrmex echinatior (Panamanian leafcutter ant), 1138 nucleotides long. The record is from RefSeq and is a predicted model, not a curated record. NCBI's taxonomy places the organism in Eukaryota, Metazoa, Arthropoda, Insecta, Hymenoptera, Formicidae.